This is a long non-coding RNA of Aedes albopictus (Asian tiger mosquito), 795 nucleotides long. RefSeq lists it as uncharacterized. Lineage: Eukaryota; Metazoa; Arthropoda; Insecta; Diptera; Culicidae. The transcript is spliced from 2 exons. The record is from RefSeq and is a predicted model, not a curated record.
CAUAAGUCGGUACCCACGUCCACCCCCUCAGGAGACAAAUUUUAAUAAAACGUUUAUUUAAUGUUUAUUUUAUAUUUAUUUCAGGCCAAUACCAGGGCAAAGAAGGCAAAGCAACGGUUGUACUAGAGGCAGUGGCGAGCUAUAAUUGUCGGAUAUGGUAUUGUAAUUUCGGAGCUGCGGGAAGUUGCAACGACAUUAACAUACUAGACAAUUCACCACUAUUAGAUGAAAUAAUACAUAACGGUAUGUUGGACCUGACGUACGAAGUGAACGGUAAAACGCGUGAAAGGGGAUAUCUUCUAGGAGAUGGAAUUUAUCCCGACUGGUCUUGUUUCGUCAAAACAAUAUCGCAUCCAUCUAACGCGAAGGAGCAGCAUUUUGCAACGGUUCAGGAAUCUGUAAGAAAAGACGUGGAACGGUGUUUCAGUCUUCUGACCAAUACCUGGCAAAUUACAAAGCAGCCGUGUCGUUUGUGGGAUUUGCAAACCAUGAUACUCGUGAUGGAAGCUUGUAUAAUUUUGCACAAUAUGCGCAUUGAAUACAACGAACACGAAGAGGUGGUUUUUCGACAAAAUUCCAAUGAGCGUGAGCCGAAGACCUUCACACAGUAUUGUGAAAUUCGUGCAAAAAUUAAAUGUGCUACAGAAAACGCAGCUCUGAGAAAGGAUCUGAUAGACCACCUAUGGCAUGUACGUGGUGAACAAUAAGCAGUGCAUGUUAAAAUAGAAGAAGAGAGAAAUAUAGAGUAUAUUGUCACAAUAAGAUAAGAAAAAUAAACAGCUAUCCAUUUCUGAA